RNAcentral lists this ribosomal RNA (442 nucleotides) under uncultured bacterium. RNAcentral's name for it is "bacterial SSU rRNA". It matches the Rfam family "Bacterial small subunit ribosomal RNA", at positions 958 to 1399 of the family's 1533-position model. The record is from RNAcentral.
AACGCGAAGAACCUUACCUACCCUUGACAUCCCGCGAAGGAUACAGAGAUGUAUUUGUGCCGAAAGGAACGCGGAGACAGGUGCUGCAUGGCUGUCGUCAGCUCGUGUUGUGAGAUGUUGGGUUAAGUCCCGUAACGAGCGCAACCCUUGUCCUUAGUUACCAGCACGUAGAGGUGGGAACUCUAAGGAGACUGCCGGUGAAGAACCGGAGGAAGGCGGGGACGACGUCAAGUCAUCAUGGCCUUUAUGGGUAGGGCCACACACGUGCUACAAUGGUCAGUACAGAGGGAAGCCAACUCGCGAGAGGGAGCGGAUCCCAGAAAGCUGAUCGUAGUCCGGAUUGAAGUCUGCAACUCGACUUCAUGAAGUCGGAAUCGCUAGUAAUCGCGAAUCAGAAUGUCGCGGUGAAUACGUUCCCGGGCCUUGUACACACCGACUGUAC